This 427-nucleotide unclassified non-coding RNA is filed under the name plant metagenome. RNAcentral's name for it is "partial contains 5.8S ribosomal RNA, internal transcribed spacer 2, and large subunit ribosomal RNA". It matches the Rfam family "Bacterial small subunit ribosomal RNA", at positions 358 to 777 of the family's 1533-position model. The record is from RNAcentral.
GGAAUAUUGCACAAUGGGCGCAAGCCUGAUGCAGCCAUGCCGCGUGUAUGAAGAAGGCCUUCGGGUUGUAAAGUACUUUCAGCGGGGAGGAAGGUGUUGUGGUUAAUAACCACAGCAAUUGACGUUACCCGCAGAAGAAGCACCGGCUAACUCCGUGCCAGCAGCCGCGGUAAUACGGAGGGUGCAAGCGUUAAUCGGAAUUACUGGGCGUAAAGCGCACGCAGGCGGUCUGUCAAGUCGGAUGUGAAAUCCCCGGGCUCAACCUGGGAACUGCAUUCGAAACUGGCAGGCUGGAGUCUUGUAGAGGGGGGUAGAAUUCCAGGUGUAGCGGUGAAAUGCGUAGAGAUCUGGAGGAAUACCGGUGGCGAAGGCGGCCCCCUGGACAAAGACUGACGCUCAGGUGCGAAAGCGUGGGGAGCAAACAGGA